CUGGCGGCGUGCCUAACACAUGCAAGUCGAACGGACGAGGGGAGCUUGCUCCCAAGUUAGUGGCGGACGGGUGAGUAACACGUGAGCAACCUGCCUUCGAGGGGGACAACAGUGGGAAACUGCUGCUAAUACCGCAUAACGUAUCCUGGAGGCAUCUCCGGGAUACCAAAGAUUUUAUCGCCGAAGGAUGGGCUCGCGUCUGAUUAGAUAGUUGGUGGGGCAACGGCCCACCAAGUCUGCGAUCAGUAGCCGGACUGAGAGGUUGAACGGCCACAUUGGGACUGAGAUACGGCCCAGACUCCUACGGGAGGCAGCAGUGGGGAAUAUUGGGCAAUGGGGGCAAACCCCCUGACCCAGCAACGCCGCGUGGAGGAAGAAGGCUUUCGGGUUGUAAACUCCUUUGACGAGGGACGAUGAUGACGGUACCUCGAAAACAAGCCACGGCUAACUACGUGCCAGCCGCUGC
Molecule: ribosomal RNA, 466 nt
Filed under: uncultured bacterium
Lineage: Bacteria
Description: bacterial SSU rRNA
Rfam family: Bacterial small subunit ribosomal RNA
Source: RNAcentral